GCGAACGGGUGAGUAACACGUGGGUAACCUGCCCAUCAGAAGGGGAUAACACUUGGAAACAGGUGCUAAUACCGUAUAACAAUCAAAACCGCAUGGUUUUGAUUUGAAAGGCGCUUUCGGGUGUCGCUGAUGGAUGGACCCGCGGUGCAUUAGCUAGUUGGUGAGGUAACGGCUCACCAAGGCCACGAUGCAUAGCCGACCUGAGAGGGUGAUCGGCCACAUUGGGACUGAGACACGGCCCAAACUCCUACGGGAGGCAGCAGUAGGGAAUCUUCGGCAAUGGACGAAAGUCUGACCGAGCAACGCCGCGUGAGUGAAGAAGGUUUUCGGAUCGUAAAACUCUGUUGUUAGAGAAGAACAAGGAUGAGAGUAACUGUUCAUCCCUUGACGGUAUCUAACCAGAAAGCCACGGCUAACUACGUGCCAGCAGCCGCGGUAAUACGUAGGUGGCAAGCGUUGUCCGGAUUUAUUGGGCGUAAAGCGAGCGCAGGCGGUUUCUUAAGUCUGAUGUGAAAGCCCCCGGCUCAACCGGGGAGGGUCAUUGGAAACUGGGAGACUUGAGUGCAGAAGAGGAGAGUGGAAUUCCAUGUGUAGCGGUGAAAUGCGUAGAUAUAUGGAGGAACACCAGUGGCGAAGGCGGCUCUCUGGUCUGUAACUGACGCUGAGGCUCGAAAGCGUGGGGAGCAAACAGGAUUAGAUACCCUGGUAGUCCACGCCGUAAACGAUGAGUGCUAAGUGUUGGAGGGUUUCCGCCCUUCAGUGCUGCAGCUAACGCAUUAAGCACUCCGCCUGGGGAGUACGACCGCAAGGUUGAAACUCAAAGGAAUUGACGGGGGCCCGCACAAGCGGUGGAGCAUGUGGUUUAAUUCGAAGCAACGCGAAGAACCUUACCAGGUCUUGACAUCCUUUGACCACUCUAGAGAUAGAGCUUCCCCUUCGGGGGCAAAGUGACAGGUGGUGCAUGGUUGUCGUCAGCUCGUGUCGUGAGAUGUUGGGUUAAGUCCCGCAACGAGCGCAACCCUUAUUGUUAGUUGCCAUCAUUCAGUUGGGCACUCUAGCAAGACUGCCGGUGACAAACCGGAGGAAGGUGGGGAUGACGUCAAAUCAUCAUGCCCCUUAUGACCUGGGCUACACACGUGCUACAAUGGGAAGUACAACGAGUUGCGAAGUCGCGAGGCUAAGCUAAUCUCUUAAAGCUUCUCUCAGUUCGGAUUGCAGGCUGCAACUCG
RNAcentral lists this ribosomal RNA (1229 nucleotides) under Enterococcus faecium. Its description in RNAcentral is "bacterial SSU rRNA". It matches the Rfam family "Bacterial small subunit ribosomal RNA", at positions 98 to 1314 of the family's 1533-position model. Lineage: Bacteria; Bacillati; Bacillota; Bacilli; Lactobacillales; Enterococcaceae. The record is from RNAcentral.